Molecule: antisense RNA, 507 nt
Filed under: Streptomyces rubrolavendulae
Lineage: Bacteria; Bacillati; Actinomycetota; Actinomycetes; Kitasatosporales; Streptomycetaceae
Description: Saccharopolyspora sRNA 350
Rfam family: Saccharopolyspora sRNA 350
Source: Rfam by way of RNAcentral
CGGUGGGUGUGCUCCCAGGUCGCCUCGCCGUCGAGGAGCGAGCCGUCGCCGAAGUAGCCGCCGUCGGCGAGGACGUCGACGACCGCCUCGUCGCCGUACGGGCCGGAGCCGACCUUCUCCACCCGGCCGUGCGCCAGCAGGAAGACCCGGUCCGCCGGGCCGCCGGCCUCCACGAUGACGUCCCCGGGCGCGUACGCGCGCUGCGUGCAGCGCCGGGCCAGCUCGCCGAGCGCCGCCUCGUCGCCGUAUCCGCGCAGCGCGGGCAGCUCGCCCAGCUCGGCGGGGAUGACCUCGACGCGCUCCCCGGUCUGCACGAACGUCACGCGCCCGUCGCCCACGGCGUAGGCGUACCGGCGGUUCACCCGGUACGCGCCGCCCUGGACCUGCACCCACGGCAGCAUGCGCAGCAGCCACCGGGAGGUGAUCUCCUGCAUCUGGGGCGCCGACUUGGUGGUGGUCGCCAGGUUCCGCGCCGCGUCCGUGCCGAGGCUCUUCUGCGCGGGAGCC